GAUGAACGCUGGCGGCGUGCCUAAUACAUGCAAGUCGAGCGAACAGACGAGGAGCUUGCUCCUCUGACGUUAGCGGCGGACGGGUGAGUAACACGUGGAUAACCUACCUAUAAGACUGGGAUAACUUCGGGAAACCGGAGCUAAUACCGGAUAAUAUAUUGAACCGCAUGGUUCAAUAGUGAAAGACGGUUUUGCUGUCACUUAUAGAUGGAUCCGCGCCGCAUUAGCUAGUUGGUAAGGUAACGGCUUACCAAGGCAACGAUGCGUAGCCGACCUGAGAGGGUGAUCGGCCACACUGGAACUGAGACACGGUCCAGACUCCUACGGGAGGCAGCAGUAGGGAAUCUUCCGCAAUGGGCGAAAGCCGGACGGAGCAACGCCGCGUGAGUGAUGAAGGUCUUCGGAUCGUAAAACUUUGUUAUUAGGGAAGAACAAAUGUGUAAGUAACUAUGCACGUCUUGACGGUACCUAAUCAGAAAGCCACGGCUAACUACGUG
This 497-nucleotide ribosomal RNA is filed under the name uncultured bacterium. Its description in RNAcentral is "partial 16S ribosomal RNA". It matches the Rfam family "Bacterial small subunit ribosomal RNA", at positions 28 to 507 of the family's 1533-position model. The record is from RNAcentral.